Non-coding RNA from Taeniopygia guttata (zebra finch), 1673 nucleotides. The record is from RefSeq and is a predicted model, not a curated record. Lineage: Eukaryota; Metazoa; Chordata; Aves; Passeriformes; Estrildidae.
CGCGCCGCCACCGGAGAGGAGAGCGCGACCGCCCUGCCCACCGGCACGUGACCCGGCGCUGCCGCCGCCAUCUUAAGUCAGGGCAAGGGCGGGGCGACCCCCGCGGGGAUGGAGGCCGGGCGUGCGGCACACGCGGUGCUGGGCCGGCGCAGCACAGCCGCACUGAGAGGGGCACGGCAGCAUUUUGCCUGAAGAGGCAGCCUAUAAUACGUAUCACAGAAUGUCAGGGUGGAAGGGACUACAGUGCGUCAUCUGGUGGAACCUCCCUGCUUAAGCAAGGCUACCCCAGAGCGCAUUGCACAGGACCGCGUCCAGAGGGGUCUGGAAUAUUUCCUGUCAAGGGGACUCCACAGCCUCUCUGGACAAUCUGCUCCAGUGCUCAGUCACCUACAAAGUUUUCUCACUUAUAUGUCCAGUAAUACAAAAAAACCUUGCAAAGUACAAAAACUCAUCUGAGGGAAUGCCAGUCUUUUGUCACACUGACACACAAACAGAAUGAAAAUCACAUCCUUGAAGAGCCCAGCUACUCUAGGAAGAUUUGAAGUAUGUAUACCUGAAGAAAAGAACUUCCAUCACUUGGCAUAAGUUGUACAGGAAACAAGCCACAGAAACUUGAAAACAGCUUUUAGUUGACAUUGCAUUUCAAGUGAUAUGAAAACAUAAUUGCAGUAAUAGAGAUUUUCUGUAUAGAUAAGCUUUCAAACACAGCAUUGAACAGUUUAAUGCAGUGUUGGAUGUUUGGACAUCUGUAUGAAGGGCCUGAAGAACUGAUUCUACAUACCUACAUCUACAGGUUAAUGACAAAUCUGCCUAGGAGAGCUAUUCAACAGUCUUUGAGCAAUGGUGAUCAAUGGAAUGCCCAACAUUGAAAUCAUCAGUCUGAAUUUUCUCGAAAGCAUAAUGAUACUAGGGAUAUAAAUCCUAGUAAGUGCUUAUUUAGCCCAAGAAUAUAUUUAGUUGAAUUUAAUCCCUGUUAUCAGCAUGGUAUUUUUAUAUGACCAAGUCAUACACAGACCUAAACAGGUCAGACUUCUCAGCAGCUGUUUGAAAUUCAUGACACAUUCUGGACAGAAGCUGUCAAGGAGUGUAAUGAGUGCAGUUUUGAAGGAAGUAUCACUUAAUUGUGGCUGAUGCUGCUGAAUUAGUCAUAUGUCCUUACUGCCAGGAGACACCGUCAUGGAGCUUUAGCUCUUCUAUCAGGAUGGCAUGUUUUACAACAUGAAAUUAGAGAAACAGCUGCAGUAAUGAAAUCAUUCACAUUCUGCUCCUUACUCAUAAAUGUGCAAUAGCCAUUCCAAACAACACAGCACAAAAUAGAUUUUCUUUCCUGGGAGCAAAAUACGGCUCAAAACACAACAUGUUAAAUUUUGGAUUGUACAAAAUCUGUGUAACUAACAGCAUAGAAUAUUAAUAAUUAUUUAAUCAUUAUUAAUAUAUAAUAAAUUAUCGAUAUAAUAAAUUAAAUAAUUAAUUAAUAAUUAACAUAUCUAUUAAUUAGCUGAAAGCGUGUAAGUACAGAUAAAUCUUUUAUGAACACGUAUCUCUUGAAGAGGUCUCUUCACUUUCAAUGUUGGUGUGGUAGUGAAAAAUUGAUUCUAGAAUGUUAAAUUAAAAAUCACUGCAGAAGUGUUUUAAGCACAAAUUCAUAGUAAAUUUCACAUAGAUUUUAUCUG